Long non-coding RNA from Dreissena polymorpha, 847 nucleotides. RefSeq lists it as uncharacterized. The record is from RefSeq and is a predicted model, not a curated record. The transcript is spliced from 2 exons. Lineage: Eukaryota; Metazoa; Mollusca; Bivalvia; Myida; Dreissenidae.
CUUGUCAUGGUAGCUCCUGACUAAACUGGGCCUAUGAGAAGGCUUGUCUGGAGCUACACUGGCCACACAUAGCUUAACUUUAGCUGACAGGGUAGCUCCUGACUUAACUGGGCCUAUGAGAAGGCUUGUCUGGAGCUACGCUGGCCACAUAUAGCUUAACUUUAGCUGACAGGGUAGCUCCUGACUAAACUGGGCCUAUGAGAAGGCUUGUCUGGAGCUACACUGGCCACACAUAGCUUAACUUUAGCUGACAGUGUAGCUUCUGACUAAACUGGGCCUAUGAGAAGGCUUGUCUGGAGCUACACUGGCCUCACAAAGCUUAACUUUAGCUGACAGGGUAGUUCCUGACUAAACUGGGCCUAUGAGAAGGCUUGUCUGGAGCUACGCUGGCCACAUAUAGCUUAACUUUAGCUGACAGGGUAGCUCCUGACUAAACUGGGCCUGUGAGAAGGAUUGUCAAGGUAGCUCCUGACUAAACUGGGCCUGUGAGAAGGCUUGUCAAGGUAGCUCCUGACUAAACUGGGCAUAUGAGAAGGCUUGUCUGGAGCUACGCUGACCACAUUUAGCUUAAGACCCGUUUUCCCAUGACGCCGUUCAUUUUAUUUAGAAAAUGCGUUCAAUUAGCUGUAAAUGUAAUCUACUAGGUGCUUUUAGUGUUGCACGUGUGUUAGGAGUGUUUUAAAAAUGUUCAAGUUCUGACUGUUAGUAAGAAAUGUUAUCAUCUUGAACUAGGUAAAAUGUUUUAGUAUUGGUAUAAUGUUUGUUAUUUUAUUUUUUCCUAUGUUAUUGUUGUUUGUUCCUAAAAUGAAAAAUGUUCUUAAAGCUUAAUAAAAGCUUAGUAAAACCA